Molecule: ribosomal RNA, 165 nt
Filed under: uncultured bacterium
Lineage: Bacteria
Description: partial 16S rRNA
Rfam family: Bacterial small subunit ribosomal RNA
Source: RNAcentral
UAGGGAAUCUUCCACAAUGGACGCAAGCCUGAUGGAGCAACACCGCGUGAGUGAAGAAGGGUUUCGGCUCGUAAAGCUCUGUUGUUAAAGAAGAACACGUAUGAGAGUAACUGUUCAUACGUUGACGGUAUUUAACCAGAAAGUCACGGCUAACUACGUGCCCAA